This 3515-nucleotide long non-coding RNA is filed under the name Homo sapiens (human). RNAcentral describes it as "non-protein coding lnc-NR2F2-14:1". Lineage: Eukaryota; Metazoa; Chordata; Mammalia; Primates; Hominidae. The record is from RNAcentral.
UCUAAAAAAAAAAAAAAAAAACCCUGGAAUUAUUAUCAGAACUACAUAUAUUGGAAUCCCAAUUAUGCCCUUGAUUGACUAGGAUGUGAUCUUGAACCCAGGAACUUAGCUCUUUGAGACAAGGAGUUGGAGACUAGCCUGGUCAUCAUAGUCACAUCCCAUCUCUACAAAAAAUAACAAAAAUUAGCUGGGCAGGGUGGCACACACUUGUGGUCCUAGCUACUUGGAAGGCUGAUGCAGGAGGAUUGCUUGAGCUAAGUUUUCUUGGAGCUAAGUUUUCUGAUCUGUAGUAAAGCCUAAUGCCUCCCUCUCCAGGAUUUUGAGAAUUAAAUGAGAUGAUAUAAGCAAAGCUCCUGUUAAUUAACAAAUCUUGAUUUGAAUUGAAAUCUGCUUCAGGUUUGUCUGUAUGUAAAGCUAAACGCUGUACUGGCUGUUUACAUGCACACUUUUUUCAGGUUUAUUUUUUGUUAACCUAGAAAAUCAACCAAAGAUUGUAUCCUCAAAUUGUCUCUAAACCAUUGUUAUACACAUUGCUAAUUACACAAGCAACAUCCAACAUUCACUUCCUCUCCUGAUCACUUUUUCCAGUAUUAUGCCCACAGUAAAUAGGCCAUUGACAAGUUAACCUGACUCUAUCACAACAAUCUUGGUAAUUUCUUUAAUGUCACUUGCAGCUAGAGGUGGGCACGUAUUAAUACACAAGGGAAAACUCUGUUACAGUACUCCUGGGAAAGAUUUUGCCCACUGAUAAAAGAAAAAGCUCUUUUUAUGUGGCCCUCACAUUCUGCCUUGAAUGCAUUUGGAAAAGGCUAAGCUGCCUGGAUCUGUGGCAGCCACACUGCAAGCAAGAGGCAAUACUGAGAAAGGUGGAACAAAGUAUUGGAAAGUCCUUAAAAACAUCACAGAGCCGCUGCACUACCAGUAGAACCAUUUCUCUAGACUCUCUGGAUGGAAAGAUUAUUAAGUAUCUUUAUUGUUCGAGCCACCGUUAACCAGAUAUUCUGUCACUUUCAGCUGGUAUGACUAUACAUCUCUAAGACUCCUGUUUGCUUAAUCUAGCUCUCUGACUUCUUAUUCCUGCUGGCUAGAUGAUGCCAGAAAUAUAGAUCUAGACAUAGAUACGGAUAUGGGUACAAAUAUAGAUAUAGGUAUACAUAUCUGCUGUGUAUAUAUUUGCACAGGGAUUCUACACAACCAGCAAAAGGAAAUAAGAGGAAUUAAGAUAUAGGAGGAUGUUUCCAGAGUCGGGUGAGAGAUUACAUUUACAUAAAUAUUCCUUCAGCUUCCUAGGUGAGUAAGAAUCAUAUUAAUAAUAAAAAUGAAACCUACCGGUUAUUGCACUUUCUCUCUUGCCAUACUUGUUACUAAGCAUUAUCUGCAUUAUUUCACAUAACCCUCAAAUUAGUCCUCAGAGGUAGACAUUUUUAUCUCCAUUUUACAGAUGAAAACCCUGAGCUUUACAAAAUCAAAGCUGUCCAACUUAUCCUACUAAAUUCAUAUAUACUAUUUCACCCUCUAACCUUCUUCAUGUUAGCCUCACGAAUCCUUUCCCAUCCUGCAGGUCUGAACUGAAACCUCACUUUCUUGGAAAAGCCUUUCAUGACCCCAGGCUAGAUUGGAUUAUUGGAGAUAAACACGCUGUUAGCAUCGUGUACAUCUUCCUCACUGUCUUUCACACAUUUGCAAUCAUUUAAUUGCCUGUAGUUAUUACCUUCUUUUCCCCCUCCGUAUGUUUCUUGGGAGGAGUGUCCAUGUCUAUCCUGUUCGUCAUCGUAGCCGCGGGGUUUGGCCCUCUGCUGAACUUAUAAAACAAGUCGUUCACAAUGUUUUUGUGUCUUUGGUACUGUUUAGAAUUUUAGAACUUUUCACAGCACUUAAAAAGGAAAAUAAAAGAUUCAAAGACUCUUGAGAAUGUCUGAUCACAUCCAUAAAGCAUUCUGCGUCAUCCCUGUAGUUGCUUGUGUAACCUUCCAUCUGUGUACUUAGCUGUUCCAGGAAGCUUCCAUUGCUCCAUUUACGGAUUCACCAAGCAAAGUUCCACUUUCAGCCUGACACAUUAGUCCAAAGGUGGAGUAAUUGUGCCCAGCACACCUUGCACCACAUGAGCCAUUCAGCUCAGUACUACACCCUGUAGGGAUCACUGUAACAGUAUUGCGAUUAAGGCUGCUAAUUGUCAUCCAGUCACUAGUCUUCCAUUUUUCUUUUUAAUAACAGAGCCCUGCCCCCGAGCCCCUGAGCUUUAGCUAGCAAGUAGCCAUCCAACUGAAAGCUGCAUUUCUCAGACUUACUUGCAUCUUGUUUUGUCCAUGUGCACCUUCUUGCCAAUGCAAUGGAAGCAAAAUGUGAUGUGUGUAAUUCCCUUUUUACUUCCUUGCUCUCCAUGACUUUGAUUUCCUCCUUCCUGUGGAACAUGUGUAACACAGGCAUGAAUCUUGUGGGCCAAGUUUGGCCAUGUAUCCAAGAAAGCUCAACUUUAGGGAAUUGCUGAGUUGCAAGAGUUCACUGCAGAAGCAGCUAGGGUUCUACAACCACUUGUAGCAGAGUCGACUACUGCCCCAGGCCUCCCACACACUUUGGACUAUUCUAUGACUGAUACUAACUUGUAUCUCGUCAUUAUGUUUUUGUUUUCUUUUUCUUAGCAAAGCUUAGACCAAACACCAACAAAUACGGAUAUGUAUAUGCGGUUAUAAAGAAGAGAAAGUUUACAAAUCAAAAAAACCUGAUGGUACUUCCUGAGAGUUUACAGUGUAUCAGUGUGCCAUAUGUCAUGGCCCAGGGGUCUAGAGCCAGUACUUUGCAUUACCUAAUAUGGUAGAAUAUGUUGAUCUUAUCAGCUAUCCUUUGGAACUAUAACCUUCAAGUGACAUGCGCACAGCUACUCCUAACCCUCCAAGGUAGCUGGAUGAGAAAGCAACACACUUGAGCAAAGAGAGAGUUGAGGCACCCCCUCUAGCAUUGGGCUGUCUAAACGCUGGUGAGAAUGGGUUGAUUUGACUGUCAAUUCUGCAGUGAUGUUCAUUUUGUCCUGUGUCUGGAUUUUCUGAUAGAUUCUGCCAACUCCUGGGGAAAGGUGGCAGCACUCACUGAAAAAAUUGUAAAAUAAAUCUGUUGUAAAGUAACAAAGAGACAAGGUCCCUGAUUGUUCUACCUAUUAGUAAGGUUGUAUUUUGCUUGGUAUUUUUCUCUGCCAAAAUGGUGAUGGCCACAUGGGUGACCAACUGCAUGAAGAUGACAGUAAUGAUGGAGAUGAUCUCAGGAGACCGUGACUAGCCUUAGAUUCAACCAUGUCCUCAGCAGAGACCAGGAGCAAAUAGACAGAAAAUGGGAGAGCAAAGUAGAUAAUACAGAGAACAAUUGUGGCCUCUGGAAAUGAAACAGGGAAGAACAGAACUAACCUGUAAUGGACAAAGGAUUCCAAUCAUUAUGGUUAAGGAUUCUGAACUUGGCUAGGCCUCUGCCUGAAUCAGGGAAGUGCUUGAAUUAGGGUUGAGAAGCCCAGCCCGGUUGCUUAUGAG